This 196-nucleotide ribosomal RNA is filed under the name Haemophilus influenzae. RNAcentral's name for it is "partial 23S ribosomal RNA". It matches the Rfam family "Bacterial large subunit ribosomal RNA", at positions 2743 to 2925 of the family's 2925-position model. Lineage: Bacteria; Pseudomonadati; Pseudomonadota; Gammaproteobacteria; Pasteurellales; Pasteurellaceae. The record is from RNAcentral.
GGGUAGCUAAGUGCGGAAGAGAUAAGUGCUGAAAGCAUCUAAGCACGAAACUUGCCAAGAGAUGAGUUCUCCCAAUCAAAGAGAUUGUAAGGGUUGUUGUAGACUACGACGUAGAUAGGUCUGGUGUGUAAGUGUAGUGAUGCAUUGAGCUAACAGAUACUAAUUGCCCGAGAGGCUUAACUAUACAACGCUCAAG